AUGUAUCAUGUGGUUGUGCUUGCCUAUGGUGUUGAAAGUGAUAGAGUUCUUGGUAUCCCUGGAGAAGAUUUGGGAGGGAUACACUCGGCUAGAGAAUUUGUUUGGUGGUAUAAUGGGCACCCUGACUGCCAAUAUUUGGCUCCAGACUUAAAGAGCACUGAUACAGCUAUUAUUCUUUGUCAGAUAUCUUCUUAUUUCUCUCUUUCUUUCUUUUUUUUUCUUUGUGAAUUUUUAGCGAGACAAAUUAUAAGAUCCUGUGCAGAACAGAGGUUUUGAAUUUACACUUCAAUGAAGCCAUAGAUCUCUUCAGCUGGCAUUUAGAUCAAUGGAUUCAUUGUUCUCUCCAAACCCAUCACUGCAAUCACAACCAUUCCCUUCACCAACAUAAAUUUUAACCAAGAUUAUUACUAGACAUCACAAAAGAAGGUUUUUAAGUGUUUGAUGAUGCGUCUAAAGAUGGUUAAGUUUGUUGGUUUAAGAUGGAAUUGCUGUGACUUCUACUUUUGCAAAAGAUGGUUAUCAAGGUAACAGAAGGAACAUAUUACUAUUGGCGUGGUAUAUGUAGAUUACCAGUGGAUAUUUUUUUUUUGUGUACAGAGGACAUCUUUUUUGUAUGAUCCUCUGUUUGUAUGGAAUUAUUAUUUUUGGUUGGAUUAUAUUUGGUUUGUGUAGAAUUUGAUAUUAAAAGACCAAAUUUUUGUAUGGUUGAAACGAAAUAGAAAUAGGUGUAUGUAUUGUUUUGUUUA
Molecule: non-coding RNA, 746 nt
Organism: Camellia sinensis
Lineage: Eukaryota; Viridiplantae; Streptophyta; Magnoliopsida; Ericales; Theaceae
Source: RefSeq, a predicted model, not a curated record